This 500-nucleotide ribosomal RNA is filed under the name uncultured bacterium. RNAcentral describes it as "partial 16S ribosomal RNA". It matches the Rfam family "Bacterial small subunit ribosomal RNA", at positions 30 to 523 of the family's 1533-position model. The record is from RNAcentral.
AUUGAACGCUGGCGGAAUGCUUUACACAUGCAAGUCGAACGGCAGCAUGGACUUCGGUCUGGUGGCGAGUGGCGAACGGGUGAGUAAUGUAUCGGAACGUGCCCAGUCGUGGGGGAUAACGUAGUGAAAAUUACGCUAAUACCGCAUACGAUCUAUGGAUGAAAGCGGGGGAUCGCAAGACCUCGCGCGAUUGGAGCGGCCGAUAGCAGAUUAGGUAGUUGGUGGGGGAAAGGCCCACCAAGCCAACGAUCUGUAGCUGGUCUGAGAGGACGACCAGCCACACUGGAACUGAGACACGGUCCAGACUCCUACGGGAGGCAGCAGUGGGGAAUUUUGGACAAUGGGCGAAAGCCUGAUCCAGCCAUUCCGCGUGCAGGAUGAAGGCCCUCGGGUUGUAAACUGCUUUUGUACAGAACGAAAAGGUUUCUACUAAUACUAGGAGCUCAUGACGGUACUGUAAGAAUAAGCACCGGCUAACUACGUGCCAGCAGCCGCAGUAA